This 27-nucleotide small RNA is filed under the name Bombyx mori (domestic silkworm). RNAcentral's name for it is "ovarian small RNA-8895". Lineage: Eukaryota; Metazoa; Arthropoda; Insecta; Lepidoptera; Bombycidae. The record is from RNAcentral.
UGUAAUCAAUAAGAGGUCGUCCAAAUA